AAGUAACAAGGUUUCCGUAGGUGAACCUGCGGAAGGAUCAUUACUGAGUGAGGGUCCCUCGGGGCCCAACCUCCCACCCGUGUAUACCGUACCUUGUUGCUUCGGCGGGCCCGCCGCGCAAGCGGCCGCCGGGGGGGCGUCAAACCCCCCUCCCUAGGCGAGCGCCCGCCGGAGACACCAACGUGAACACUGUCUGAAGUUUUGUUGUCUGAGUUCGAUUGUAUCGCAAUCAGUUAAAACUUUCAACAAUGGAUCUCUUGGUUCCGGCAUCGAUGAAGAACGCAGCGAAAUGCGAUAAUUAAUGUGAAUUGCAGAAUUCAGUGAAUCAUCGAGUCUUUGAACGCACAUUGCACCCCCUGGUAUUCCGGGGGGUAUGCCUGUCCGAGCGUCAUUGCUGCCCUCAAGCACGGCUUGUGUGUUGGGUCGUCGUCCCCCCCGGGGACGGGCCCGAAAGGCAGCGGCGGCACCGCGUCCGGUCCUCGAGCGUAUGGGGCUUUGUCACCCGCUCUUGUAGGCCCGGCCGGCGCUGGCCGACGCUGAAAAGCAACCAACUAUUUCUCCAGGUGACCUCGGAUCACAUAUGAACCCACAUCUCCA
This 597-nucleotide ribosomal RNA is filed under the name Aspergillus sp. RNAcentral's name for it is "eukaryotic LSU rRNA". The stretch from base 238 to 391 matches the Rfam family "5.8S ribosomal RNA". Lineage: Eukaryota; Fungi; Ascomycota; Eurotiomycetes; Eurotiales; Aspergillaceae. The record is from RNAcentral.